Molecule: ribosomal RNA, 468 nt
Filed under: uncultured bacterium
Lineage: Bacteria
Description: partial 16S ribosomal RNA
Rfam family: Bacterial small subunit ribosomal RNA
Source: RNAcentral
GACGAACGCUGGCGGCGUGCUUAACACAUGCAAGUCGAACGGAAAGGCCCUGCUUUUGUGGGGUGCUCGAGUGGCGAACGGGUGAGUAACACGUGAGUAACCUGCCCUUGACUUUGGGAUAACUUCAGGAAACUGGGGCUAAUACCGGAUAGGAGCUCCUGCUGCAUGGUGGGGGUUGGAAAGUUUCGGCGGUUGGGGAUGGACUCGCGGCUUAUCAGCUUGUUGGUGGGGUAGUGGCUUACCAAGGCUUUGACGGGUAGCCGGCCUGAGAGGGGGACCGGCCACAUUGGGACUGAGAUACGGCCCAGACUCCUACGGGAGGCAGCAGGGGGGAAUAUUGCACAAUGGGCGGAAGCCUGUUGCAGCAACGCCGCGUGCGGGAUGACGGCCUUCGGGUUGUAAACCGCUUUCGCCUGUGACGAAGCGUGAGUGACGGUAAUGGGUAAAGAAGCACCGGCUAACUACGUG